GCCAAGGUAAGGGUGAGAUAAAUCCUAAGGGGGUACUAGGCUAAAAUUCAUAUUUUUCUUCCCCUUUCUCUUCUUUUUUUUCUUUUUUUUCUUUUUCAUAAGGAGUAUGUAUUGACAUGUAUACAUCCUUCUAUUUUUUUUCAUUCAUUUUUUCUUUUCUAUUUUUAUUUUCUUUUCCUACCAACUUCUGAAAUAUUACAAACAUAAUUAUUCAACCCCACACAACUCCAAACAAGACUCUUUCAAC
Molecule: long non-coding RNA, 247 nt
Filed under: Lathyrus oleraceus (garden pea)
Lineage: Eukaryota; Viridiplantae; Streptophyta; Magnoliopsida; Fabales; Fabaceae
Description: Pisum sativum (pea) long non-coding RNA (PSAT_LNC019867)
Source: RNAcentral